GGGCGUGUGGCGGAACUGGCAUACGCGUACGCUUCAGGAGCGUAUGGGAGUAAUCUCUUGAGGGUUCAAAUCCCUCCACGCCCA
RNAcentral lists this transfer RNA (84 nucleotides) under Candidatus Yanofskybacteria bacterium RIFCSPHIGHO2_01_FULL_44_17. Its description in RNAcentral is "tRNA-Leu". It matches the Rfam family "tRNA". Rfam says of the family: Transfer RNA (tRNA) molecules are approximately 80 nucleotides in length. Their secondary structure includes four short double-helical elements and three loops (D, anti-codon, and T loops). Further hydrogen bonds mediate the characteristic L-shaped molecular structure. tRNAs have two regions of fundamental functional importance: the anti-codon, which is responsible for specific mRNA codon recognition, and the 3' end, to which the tRNAs corresponding amino acid is attached (by aminoacyl-tRNA synthetases). tRNAs cope with the degeneracy of the genetic code in two manners: having more than one tRNA (with a specific anti-codon) for a particular amino acid; and 'wobble' base-pairing, i.e. permitting non-standard base-pairing at the 3rd anti-codon position. Lineage: Bacteria; Candidatus Yanofskyibacteriota. The record is from RNAcentral.